GCUACGGGUGGCAGCAGUGAGGAAUAUUGGUCAAUGGGCGCGAGCCUGAACCCGCCAAGUCGCGUGAGGGAAGACGGUCCUAUGGAUUGUAAACCUCUUUUGUCGGGGAGCAAAAGACGCCACGCGUGGCGUUCCGAGCGUACCCAACGAAAAAGCAUCGGCUAACUCCGUUCCAGCAGCCGCGGUAAUACGGGGGAUGCGAGCGUUAUCCGGAUUUAUUGGGGUGAAAGGGUGCGCAGGCGGAAGAUCAAGUCAGCGGUAAAAUUGAGAGGCUCAACCUCUUCGAGCCGUUGAAACUGGUUGUCUUGAGUGAGCGAGAAGUAGGCGGAAUGCGUGGUGUAGCGGUGAAAUGCAUAGAUAUCACGCAGAACUCCGAUUGCGAAGGCAGCAUACCGGCGCUCAACUGACGCUCAUGCACGAAAGUGUGGGUAUCGAACAGGAUUAGAUACCCUGGUAGUC
RNAcentral lists this ribosomal RNA (459 nucleotides) under uncultured bacterium. RNAcentral's name for it is "partial 16S ribosomal RNA". It matches the Rfam family "Bacterial small subunit ribosomal RNA", at positions 338 to 795 of the family's 1533-position model. The record is from RNAcentral.